CCUACGGGGCGCAGCAGUGAGGAAUAUUGGUCAAUGGGCGUAAGCCUGAACCAGCCAAGUCGCGUGAGGGAUGAAGGUUCUAUGGAUCGUAAACCUCUUUUAUAAGGGAAUAAAGUGUGGGACGUGUCCUGUUUUGUAUGUACCUUAUGAAUAAGGAUCGGCUAACUCCGUGCCAGCAGCCGCGGUAAUACGGAGGAUCCGAGCGUUAUCCGGAUUUAUUGGGUUUAAAGGGUGCGUAGGCGGCCUUUUAAGUCAGCGGUGAAAGUUUGUGGCUAAACCAUAGAAUUGCCGUUGAAACUGGGAGGCUUGAGUAUGUUUGAGGCAGGCGGAAUGCGUGGUGUAGCGGUGAAAUGCUAAGAUAUCACGCAGAACCCCGAUUGCGAAGGCAGCCUGCCAAGCCAUGACUGACGCUGAUGCACGAAAGCGUGGGGAUCAAACAGGAUUAGAUACCCGGGUAGUC
RNAcentral lists this ribosomal RNA (460 nucleotides) under uncultured bacterium. RNAcentral's name for it is "partial 16S ribosomal RNA". It matches the Rfam family "Bacterial small subunit ribosomal RNA", at positions 338 to 795 of the family's 1533-position model. The record is from RNAcentral.